Molecule: unclassified non-coding RNA, 234 nt
Filed under: Ascomycota sp.
Lineage: Eukaryota; Fungi; Ascomycota
Description: partial contains small subunit ribosomal RNA, internal transcribed spacer 1, and 5.8S ribosomal RNA
Rfam family: Eukaryotic small subunit ribosomal RNA (bases 1-46)
Source: RNAcentral
AAGUCGUAACAAGGUUUCCGUAGGUGAACCUGCGGAAGGAUCAUUACCGAGAUAGGGUCCUCUGGGCCCGAACCUCCCACCCAUUGUUUACUUACCUUUGUUGCUUUGGCAGGCCGCCUUUUAGGCGUCGGCUCCGGCUGACUGCGCCUGCCAGAGGACCCAAACUCGUUUGUUUAGUGAUGUCUGAGUACUAUAUAAUAGUUAAAACUUUCAACAACGGAUCUCUUGGUUCUG